Pocillopora verrucosa is the source of this 2674-nucleotide RNA transcript. It is a transcript of the gene named RNA-binding protein 45, with no coding region annotated. Lineage: Eukaryota; Metazoa; Cnidaria; Anthozoa; Scleractinia; Pocilloporidae. The record is from RefSeq and is a predicted model, not a curated record.
UUUCAAGAUGGCUGUGAGUAAUCAACAAAGUAUGGAUACGGGCUCAAUUUCUAGCCGUGUAGACGUGGACAGCCCGCCUUUUUCGCGUAUUUUCAUAGUCUGUAGUAAAAAGCACUCGUCGGAAGACAUGAGAGCCGCAUUCGAACAAUUUGGCACCAUUGAAGAUAUCUGGGUUGUGAAGGACAAACAGACGAAAGAAAAUCGUGGCGUGUGUUACAUAAAGUUCGCCAAAGCGUCUUCGGCAGCUCGAGCUUGCGAAGAAAUGGAUGGAAAAAUUAUUGCAGAUGAUCCUAAACCAAUUAAGGCGAUGAUUGCCCAGUCUAAAGGUUCAGGCUCUAAAACAGAUUUUCAUGAUGAAACAGCACUGACCCGUUUAUUCAUCAUCUGUCCAAAAGAGUACACAGAGGAUAACUUACGUCAAAAAUUCCAGGACUUUGGGGAGAUAGAGUAUGUCCAAAUUGUACGUGACCAUAAAACUGGUGAAAACAAAGGUUUUGGAUAUGUUAAGUUCAGGAAGUCAUCUGCAGCAGCUGUUGCACUUGAGAACUGUGACAAGACUCUUAAAGCUGUUUGGGCUGAGCCCAAAUCAGCUAAAAUUGCCAGAAAUGCAGCAGCUGCAGCAGCAGCCAUGCAAUCUACAUUAAUCCCACACAAUCCAUUUCUAGAGGUAAAUAAUUACCCUCAGGCUGCGGCAGCACCAGUCAGCAGCCAUACAGUCAGCAUGAAUGUGAAUAAUGCUGCAUCGCUUCAGGGAGUUGCAGAUUACUAUGGAACUCAAAACCCUGUAGCAGCAGUUGCAGAGUCUAUUACAACGUCACAUACCCCCACCAGGCUGUUUGUUAAAGUGUCCCCUAUGAUAGGGGCAGAGCAAUUAUCGCGCUUGUUUGACAUCAUUCCUGGUAUGCAGAUGUGCGAUUUGAAGCGGAAUUAUGGCACUGGAGAAUCUAAGGGCUUUGCUUAUGUCACAUACAACUCUGUAGGAUCUGCAAUCUAUGCUAAGGAAAAACUCAAUGGGUUUGAAUACCCAUUGGGCUCAAAGCUUGUGGUAAAAUAUGCGGAAGAUCCUCCUGGAAUGCGCAGUAAUGGUACAGGGCAGGGUAGUGACACAGCUUUUCAGAUUCAGUCGCACGGCUCUAAAUCAUCUCUCACUGGUGGCUCAUAUGCAGUGGACUACUCUACUGCUGUCUACACUUCAGCAGCUCUUCCAGCACCAUCUCCUUUGGCAGAUCCAACCUCUGAGGUUGUUUCAAGACUGUUUAUUGUUUGUCAACCAGCCCCACCACCAGAAAGUGCCCUUAAGGAUGUCUUCAGCAGGUUUGGGAACCUGAUUGAUGUUUGGAUGAUGAAAGAUCGUAACUUUGGUUAUGCCAAGUUUGCAAGCAAGGAGUCUGCAGAUGCAGCCAUUGAAGGAAUGCAUGGCCAUGAAGUUCUUGGUAUGAAGUUGAAGGUGAUGCAUGCUGAUCCACCCAAGUCAGAAGCGUCCAGAAAACGACCUCGCACAUGAUGUUAGAACAGCAGAAUUACACAACUAGCAUUUUCAUCCUCACAGACUAAGGUAUCAAAGGAGAAGAGAAAAACGAAGCCGUGAUGUAGGAUGAUGUGCAGCAAGUCAGAAUGUAACAACAAAGCGCUUUCAUUGCCUCGUCUACACAUCGGAAAUCGCAUUUCCAGAUUCUUAUUUGAAUGAAACUAUAUUGACGAAGAAGGCGGCUCGUACGAAACGGAAAGAAUGAGAAGCAGUACAACUGACACAACUCCUUCUUGAGGACGUGAUAUCGCUGUACAAUGUGAAUGGAUUCGUCUUUAAGGAAAACACUUGGAUAUAUACCCUGGCUAAAAGGAUGAAUAGUUUUACUGUGAGAGAAGUUUUGAAUUGAGUGUCGAUAAACCAAAAGACCAAUCAGAGCAAAGGUUGACAUCAUCGUUAACCAAUGAGAACUCAAAGUAAAAACAGGCAACCUGCUUAAAACGCGGGAAAACACGAGUGACCAAGUUGGGACUAGUUUUAGUGUUGCAUUUGAUUGGUUGAGAUGGUGGCACGAGUUUUCUCGACCAAUCAUAGAGCAAAGCUAUCCAGAAUCGCUUUCGAUACUCAAUUUAAGACUGCCUUAUCUACCAUGCAAGCAGGUUUCCCGACUGUAGACAACUGAUUAAAGAUAUAUGGAUUGCCUUGUAUCACUAUUUUUCCAAUCGGUGGUGAAAAAAGUGUUAUGGGACCACAAGAAUGAAGAAGAAUGCAAUUUACAUAUUUUUUUAAAAUUACUGAUUACAAAGCCAAUUAAAAUACCGUGUCUUUCUGGUUAAACAAACGAACUUCGAGUAACCGUGUAUUUUGGUCGGUCCUGUAUCUAUUUUAUGUAUAUCCUUUUAAAAUUCCUUUAAGAUGCAAAGACAUUCUGCACUUUGUUUGCUACACCGGCACCUAGGGGUUCUAUGAUUCCGUCCGUUUUUCCUCUGCCUUACAACCAGUGCUGAUGGUAUCUCAUAUUGUCGGUUCGCGUAAACAUACUUCGUCGUGUGACGUGAACGACCUCAAAUAAUUCAGCACCUCGAGGGAUUAUUCAUAAAUAGUAUGGAAAAAUAUGGUACGUCGAGAUAAAUGAUAUGACUAAUGCAUUCCGCGUACAUUGUCUUUAAAAAUUAAGAAAAUGACUGUGGUUUCUCAGUCGCUACG